RNAcentral lists this transfer RNA (65 nucleotides) under Hexostoma thynni. RNAcentral's name for it is "tRNA-Ala". The record is from RNAcentral. Lineage: Eukaryota; Metazoa; Platyhelminthes; Monogenea; Diclybothriidea; Hexostomatidae.
AACGAUGUAGUUUAUUUAAAAUAUUGAUUUUGCAGGUCAAAGAGUGGAAUGUGUUCUCGUUGUUA